UACAGAGGGGGCAAGCGUUGUUCGGAAUUACUGGGCGUAAAGGGCGCGUAGGCGGCCGCCUAAGUCAGACGUGAAAUCCCUCGGCUCAACCGGGGAACUGCGUCUGAUACUGGGUGGCUUGAAUCCGGGAGAGGGAUGCGGAAUUCCAGGUGUAGCGGUGAAAUGCGCAGAUAUCAGGAGGAACACCGGUGGCGAAGGCGGCAUCCUGGACCGACACUGACGCUGAGGAGCGAAAGCCAGGGGAGCAAACGGG
RNAcentral lists this ribosomal RNA (253 nucleotides) under uncultured bacterium. RNAcentral describes it as "partial 16S ribosomal RNA". It matches the Rfam family "Bacterial small subunit ribosomal RNA", at positions 524 to 776 of the family's 1533-position model. The record is from RNAcentral.